UACGGAGGAUCCAAGCGUUAUCCGGAUUUAUUGGGUUUAAAGGGUGCGUAGGCGGCCUAUUAAGUCAGGGGUGAGAGACGGUGGCUCAACCAUCGCAGUGCCUUUGAUACUGAUAGGCUUGAAUACACUAGAGGUAGGCGGAAUGUGACAAGUAGCGGUGAAAUGCAUAGAUAUGUCACAGAACACCGAUUGCGAAGGCAGCUUACUAUGGUGUCAUUGACGCUGAGGCACGAAAGCGUGGGGAUCAAACAGG
This 253-nucleotide ribosomal RNA is filed under the name uncultured bacterium. RNAcentral describes it as "partial 16S ribosomal RNA". It matches the Rfam family "Bacterial small subunit ribosomal RNA", at positions 524 to 776 of the family's 1533-position model. The record is from RNAcentral.